This 637-nucleotide ribosomal RNA is filed under the name uncultured bacterium. RNAcentral describes it as "bacterial SSU rRNA". It matches the Rfam family "Bacterial small subunit ribosomal RNA", at positions 607 to 1244 of the family's 1533-position model. The record is from RNAcentral.
GCUCAACCGAGGAAGUGCUUCGAAAACUGGUAAACUUGAGUGCAGAAGAGGAAAGUGGAACUCCAUGUGUAGCGGUGGAAUGCGUAGAUAUAUGGAAGAACACCAGUGGCGAAGGCGGCUUUCUGGUCUGUAACUGACGCUGAGAUUCGAAAGCAUGGGUAGCAAACAGGAUUAGAUACCCUGGUAGUCCAUGCCGUAAACGAUGAGUGCUAAGUGUUGGAGGGUUUCCGCCCUUCAGUGCUGCAGCUAACGCAUUAAGCACUCCGCCUGGGGAGUACGAUCGCAAGAUUGAAACUCAAAGGAAUUGACGGGGGCCCGCACAAGCGGUGGAGCAUGUGGUUUAAUUCGAAGCAACGCGAAGAACCUUACCAGGUCUUGACAUACCAUGAAAAGCUAAGAGAUUAGUCUUUCCCUCCGGGGACAUGGAUACAGGUGGUGCAUGGUUGUCGUCAGCUCGUGUCGUGAGAUGUUGGGUUAAGUCCCGCAACGAGCGCAACCCUUAUUAUCAGUUGCCAGCAUUCAGUUGGGCACUCUGGUGAGACUGCCGGUGACAAACCGGAGGAAGGUGGGGACGACGUCAAAUCAUCAUGCCCCUUAUGACAUGGGCUACACACGUGCUACAAUGGUCGGUACAACG